This 1197-nucleotide ribosomal RNA is filed under the name Marteilioides chungmuensis. RNAcentral's name for it is "bacterial SSU rRNA". It matches the Rfam family "Eukaryotic small subunit ribosomal RNA", at positions 564 to 1827 of the family's 1831-position model. The record is from RNAcentral. Lineage: Eukaryota; Endomyxa; Ascetosporea; Paramyxida; Marteiliidae.
GUGCCAGCCGCCGCGGUAAUUCCAGCUCCGGGAGUUUACGGGAUUAUUGCUGAGAUAAAACGUCUGUAGUCGGAACCAACGGCGGAGCGUGCGGUCGGACCCGCCGGGCGAGAUGGCCGCUCCGCCACGACCGUUCGUUCGCCUCGGCGUGCGUCGGUCCACGUCCGUGACCCAAACCAGGUGAUCAAGGCGAGCUCGUGCUCGAUGGUUUUGCAUGGAAUCGUAGAACGAAACCUGCCCUCGGCGUUCCAAGAGCGCAGGUGAUGAUCAACGCGAGCGGUCGGAGACGAGUGAACUGCAGGGCGAGGGGUAAAAUCUGAUGAUCCUUGCAAGACAGCCGAAAGCGAAGGCACUCGUCUAGAGCGUUUCCGUCGAUAAAGGACGGAAGCCACCGUAGUCAACAGGAUUAGAUACCCCGGUAGCGGUGUGCCCCAAACUAUGCCGACCGGCCCGACGCCGCGUUUACACCUGUGACCGGUGUUGGGUCCGAGGAAGCUGGAGUGAUUUGGCUUCUGGGAGAUUACGGCUGCAAAGCUGAAACUUAAAGGAAUUGACGGAAGGGCACCAUCAGGUCUGGAUUAUGCGGCUCAAUUGGAUUCAACGCCCGACACCCCACCAGGACAGGAGCGCCCGAUGAAGCACCGGCUGAAUACCUCUGCCGAUGGGCGUGCGGGUGGUGCAUGGCCGCCGUAGUUCGUGAGGCGACUUGUCUGGUUAAUUCCGACAACGAACGUAACCGCACUGCCCGAACCAUGGUGCGCGCCGUCGCGGUGCGUCGCCAAACUCGGGCAGACAAAUCCGCAACGAGUCUCGUCUCGGAGCGGAAGGAAGCUACGGCGAUGGCAGGUCUGUGAUGCCCCUAGACGCCCGGAUCGCACGCGUAAUACAAUGCCGGCCCAAGCGCGCAGGUUCGCCCGAGAGGGUCUACAAAUCGCACGAAAAGCCGGCCCAGUCGGGAUCGAGGACUGCAACUCUCCUCGUGAACGCGGAACACCUCGUAGUGGCGCGUCAUUAACGCGCCACGAAUGAGUCCCUGUCCUUUGUACACACCGCCCGUCGCUACAGCCAAUUACGUGUCGUCGUCAAGAGGCCGGACGGUUCGCCCUCGGGCGGAUAAUCGGAAGGUCCCUGAACGUCGGUACGAGGAGGGUGUAAAAGUCGUAACAAGGUAUUUGUAGGUGAACCUGCAGAAGGAUC